This 440-nucleotide ribosomal RNA is filed under the name uncultured bacterium. RNAcentral describes it as "partial 16S ribosomal RNA". It matches the Rfam family "Bacterial small subunit ribosomal RNA", at positions 338 to 795 of the family's 1533-position model. The record is from RNAcentral.
CCUACGGGUGGCAGCAGUGGGGAAUAUUGCACAAUGGGGGAAACCCUGAUGCAGCGACGCCGCGUGAGUGAAGAAGUAACUCGUUAUGUAAAGCUCUAUCAGUAGGGAAGAAAAUGACGGUACCUGAGUAAGAAGCUCCGGCCAAGUACGGUCCAGCAGCCGCGGUAAUACGGAGGGGGCAAGCGUUAUCCGGAUUUACUGGGUGUAAAGGGAGCGUAGACGGCAUUGCAAGUCAGGAGUGAAAGGCGGCGGCUCAACCGCAGGAGUGCAAUGGAGACUGUAAGACUGGAGUGCAGGUGAGGUAGGUGGAAUUCGUAGUGUAGCGGUGAAAUGCUUAGAUAUUAGGAAGAACACCGAUGGCGAAGGCAGCUUACUAAACUGUAACUGACAUUGAGGCUCGAAAGUGUGGGGAGCAAACAGGAUUAGAUACCCUGGUAGUC